This is a small nucleolar RNA of Cricetulus griseus (Chinese hamster), 130 nucleotides long. Ensembl annotates it as small nucleolar RNA SNORA24. The record is from Ensembl. Lineage: Eukaryota; Metazoa; Chordata; Mammalia; Rodentia; Cricetidae.
CUCCAUAGUUCAAGGCUAUGGGUAACAUAUUCGAACAACUUCCCAACCAGGGAAGAGGGUGUUCUUGUUUAUUGGUGACACUAUCAUCAUUUAACCAUUAUCAGAUUCCGAUUUGGCACAAACAACAUUC